RNAcentral lists this ribosomal RNA (468 nucleotides) under uncultured bacterium. RNAcentral describes it as "partial 16S ribosomal RNA". It matches the Rfam family "Bacterial small subunit ribosomal RNA", at positions 28 to 507 of the family's 1533-position model. The record is from RNAcentral.
GACGAACGCUGGCGGCGUGCUUAACACAUGCAAGUCGAACGGAAAGGCCCUGCUUUUGUGGGGUGCUCGAGUGGCGAACGGGUGAGUAACACGUGAAUAACCUGCCCUUGACUUUGGGAUAACUUCAGGAAACUAGGGCUAAUACCGGAUAGGAGCUCCUGCUGCAUGGUGGGGGUUGGAAAGUUUCGGCGGUUGGGGAUGGACUCGCGGCUUAUCAGCUUGUUGGUGGGGUAGUGGCUUACCAAGGCUUUGACGGGUAGCCGGCCUGAGAGGGUGACCGGCCACAUUGGGACUGAGAUACGGCCCAGACUCCUACGGGAGGCAGCAGUGGGGAAUAUUGCACAAUGGGCGGAAGCCUGAUGCAGCAACGCCGCGUGCGGGAUGACGGCCUUCGGGUUGUAAACCGCUUUCGCCUGUGACGAAGCGUGAGUGACGGUAAUGGGUAAAGAAGCACCGGCUAACUACGUG